Molecule: ribosomal RNA, 305 nt
Filed under: uncultured bacterium
Lineage: Bacteria
Description: partial 16S ribosomal RNA
Rfam family: Bacterial small subunit ribosomal RNA
Source: RNAcentral
ACAGCAGUCGCCACGGGAAUACAGAGGGUGCGAGCGUUAAUCGGAUUUACUGGGCAUAAAGCGUGCGUAGGCGGCUUCUUAAGUCGGAUGUGAAAUCCCUGAGCUUAACUUAGGAAUUGCAUUCGAUACUGGGAAGCUAGAGUAUGGGAGAGGAUGGUAGAAUUCCAGGUGUAGCGGUGAAAUGCGUAGAGAUCUGGAGGAAUACCGAUGGCGAAGGCAGCCAUCUGGCCUAAUACUGACGCUGAGGUACGAAAGCAUGGGGAGCAAACAGGAUUAGAUACCCGCGUAGUCCCUGUCUCUUAUAC